RNAcentral lists this non-coding RNA (29 nucleotides) under Mus musculus (house mouse). The record is from RNAcentral. Lineage: Eukaryota; Metazoa; Chordata; Mammalia; Rodentia; Muridae.
UAAAAAUUUGCUGAGAGGGUUAUAUGACU